This 398-nucleotide ribosomal RNA is filed under the name uncultured bacterium. Its description in RNAcentral is "partial 16S ribosomal RNA". It matches the Rfam family "Bacterial small subunit ribosomal RNA", at positions 523 to 918 of the family's 1533-position model. The record is from RNAcentral.
AUACGUAGGGUGCGAGCGUUGUCCGGAAUUACUGGGCGUAAAGAGCUCGUAGGUGGUUUGUCGCGUCGUCUGUGAAAUUCCGGGGCUUAACUCCGGGCGUGCAGGCGAUACGGGCAUAACUUGAGUACUGUAGGGGAGACUGGAAUUCCUGGUGUAGCGGUGAAAUGCGCAGAUAGCAGGAGGAACACCGGUGGCGAAGGCGGGGCUCUGGGCAGGAACUGACGCUGGGGAGCGAAAGCAUGGGUAGCGAACAGGAUUAGAUACCCUGGUAGUCCAUGCCGUAAACGGUGGGCGCUAGUUGUAGGGGUCUUCCACGACUUCUGUGCCGUAGCUAACGCAUUAAGCUCCCCGCCUGGGGAGUACGGCCGCAAGGCUAAAACUCAAAUGAAUUGACGGGG